Gouania willdenowi (blunt-snouted clingfish) is the source of this 1016-nucleotide long non-coding RNA. Ensembl annotates it as theg spermatid protein like. The record is from Ensembl. NCBI's taxonomy places the organism in Eukaryota, Metazoa, Chordata, Actinopteri, Blenniiformes, Gobiesocidae.
UUAAUAUUUUAAAUAUAUAUAUAUCAUUUCUUCUACAGGUCACAUACACAAAAUGAGUGUUUCUAGAGACUCUUUUUAAAUCCUAUCACUGAUUGUGUUUCAGAGCUAAAUGCAGAUGUUGCAUUAGCAGAGCUCAGAAAACAUUCCCUCUUUUUGACUGUGUUAUUUGGGAAUGUUCUGCAGGAUUUCGGAGCUGGCGCAGCACAAAACCUCCAAAACCGUCUGGGCCACGACUCCUUGUGAGAAGCUGGUCUGGGGGAACCAGGAACCAAUAUGGCCCAUAUCCCCAGCAGCACUCAGAGCCGUUCCCAGUGCGAGAAUUCAAUACCUGGCCAGGCCCAAAAGAAGCUUCUCAGCGUGGGACGACCAAUGGAGAAACCGUCCCAUGUGGAACGUUGCCAUCACACUGAGACCUGUACCCAUGUCUGCUCUACUGCAGCAGCUCUCCAGACCCAAACCCACCCAUCCAGACCACCUCAGCAACAGGCCGAGUGCAGCUUCCAUCGUCUCCUCUGCGUCUAAAACAACUAGAACCUCCAGUGGAACCACUCGUCUGUCGCUGCCCAAACUGAAGGAAAACAAAAUCUGUCACGAUCUCGGACGACCUGAGGAGUCCAUCUGGACUAUUUCAAAGGCAGCAAAAAAAGCUUCGUCCAGCGUUCGUGUGGAGAUGCUUUCAGAGCCCAAGCAGCUUUCCAAAGACUACGUUCCACCACGAGAACCAGAGUGGAGCCCAAAAAAACCAUCAAACCUCGAUAGAAAAAGAAUUCUUUUUGCUUGAUGUGGUCACUUGAAUGAAUACGAGUGGAAGCAAUAGAGCUUCCAUGAUUCCAGAGCGAUUAUCGUAUGUUACUGUUGUGUUAUAAUCUCUCUUUAAAAAUACAGUUUUAAACUUGCCUUGUAGUUUUAAGGCCACAUGCAGCCCUUUGACUAAAGUAAACCCACAGAAUGACUGCAAAAACACACAAAAUGAAUCAAAAUACAAAUAAAAUUAGCAAAAGAACAUAGAAAAAUCA